UUGAGUCAAUUUUUACAUGUGGUAUGAUGCAAGGGUUGAGAUUCAUUAUUGUUUUUCUUUUUGCAUUUGGAUAUUCAAUUGUUUAAACAUUAUUUCUUGACGGUAAUGUCUUUCCCUACUGAAUUGCAUUGGAAUCUUUCUUAAAAUGAGCUGACCAGACAGAUGCACGGUUUUACUUCCGGGGUCUCUAUUGUAUGCUAUUGAUCUCUAUAUCUAUCUAUCUUUAUACCAAUACCACACUGCUUUGAUUAUUAUACCUUGGAUGUAAGCUUUAAAGUCCAGUUGAGUAAAUCCUCAACUUUGUUCUCUGUCAAUAUUUUGGGCUAUCCGAGUUCCUUUGCCAUUUCAUAUACAUUUUAGGAUAGGCUUUCCAGUUUUCACAAAAGUGACUACUGGAAUUUUGAAUGUGAUCACAUUAAAUUUAUGGAUUGGGGAGAAUUGACAUCUUAAUUAGUCUUCUAACCUAUGGUAUAUCUCUCCACUUAUUAAGAUUUUUAAUUUCUCUCGGCAUUACUUUGUCACUUUUAGCUUGUAAGUCUUGCAUAAUUUUUCUUAAAUUGAAUUUUAUUUUUUCAUGAUUUUGUGGUUUUGUAAAUGGCCUAUUACAAAAUUUUCAAUUAUAAUAGGGUAUAAGAUAUGCAAUUGAUUUUCUGUGUUGACCUUGUUAUCUGCAGUCUUGCAAAACUCACUUAGUAUUUUCUUUUGGUAUAUUCUGCAUAGACAAUUAUGUAUCCUGCAAAUAAGGAAAUUUUACUUCUUCCAUUCCAAUCAGCAGGCAUUUUAUUUUUGUUUCUUGUUUUACCGCAUGAGCUAGCACCACCAGUACAAUGCUGACUAGAUGUAGUGAGGGAGGUAUUUUUGCCUUGUUCCAACCCUUAUGAGUAAAGCAUGAAGGAUGAUAUUAGUUGUGGGUUUUUUAUAGAUACUUCAUAUUAUUUAGAGGUCCAUCAUAUGGUCUAUAUUGGUCAAUGUUCCACGUUUAUUUGCAAAGAAUGCAUUGUAUGCUUUUGUUGGUUGAGUAUUAAAUACAUUACAGUUAGGACCAAUGUGCUGUUAGGUCUUCUAUAUCCUUUUGAUUUCCUGUAUACUUGCUCUAUCAAACAUUGAAAGAGGUGAUAAAAUCUCCAACUAUAAUUAUGGAUUUGUCUAUUUGUUCUUUCUGUCUAAUAGUUUGUCUUUCAUGUACAUUGAAACUGUUAUUAGAUGUAUGUAUACACAUUUAGAAUUGUUAUGUCUUCUUGAUGAAUUGGUUCAUUUAUCAUUAGAUAAUGCACCUUUAUAUUAGUGAUACUAUUCCUUGUUCUGAAAUUUUAGUAUAGUCAUUCCAGCUUUCUUGAUUGUGGUGUGACAUAUCUUUUUACAUUCUUUUAUUCUUUUUACCUAUGUUUGUAUUUAAAGAAGAUUUCUUAUAGACAACAUAACAUUGGAUCUUUUUUUUUUUUAAAGAAUCUGAUCUCUUCUUUUUAAAAAUUUUUUUUAAAUUUUUAUUUAUUUAUGAUAGUCACACAGAGAGAGAGAGAGAGAGAGAGAGGCAGAGGGAGAAGCAGGCUCCAUGCACCGGGAGCCCGACGUGGGAGUCG
RNAcentral lists this long non-coding RNA (1580 nucleotides) under Canis lupus familiaris (dog). RNAcentral's name for it is "lncRNA (ENSCAFG00040011847.1)". The record is from RNAcentral. Lineage: Eukaryota; Metazoa; Chordata; Mammalia; Carnivora; Canidae.